Molecule: ribosomal RNA, 484 nt
Filed under: uncultured bacterium
Lineage: Bacteria
Description: partial 16S ribosomal RNA
Rfam family: Bacterial small subunit ribosomal RNA
Source: RNAcentral
AUUGAACGCUGGCGGCAGGCCUAACACAUGCAAGUCGAGCGGAUGAAGGGAGCUUGCUCCUGGAUUCAGCGGCGGACGGGUGAGUAAUGCCUAGGAAUCUGCCUGGUAGUGGGGGAUAACGUCCGGAAACGGGCGCUAAUACCGCAUACGUCCUGAGGGAGAAAGGGGGGGAUCUUCGAACCUCACGCUAUCAGAUAAGCCUAGGUCGGAUUAGCUAGUUGGUGGGGUAAAGGCCUACUAAGGCGACGAUCCGUAACUGGUCUGAGAGGAUGAUCAGUCACACUGGAACUGAGACACGGUCCAGACUCCUACGGGAGGCAGCAGUGGGGAAUAUUGGACAAUGGGCGAAAGCCUGAUCCAGCCAUGCCGCGUGUGUGAAGAAGGUCUUCGGAUUGUAAAGCACUUUAAGUUGGGAGGAAGGGCAGUAAGUUAAUACCUUGCUGUUUUGACGUUACCAACAGAAUAAGCACCGGCUAACUUCGUG